Salvia splendens (bonfire salvia) is the source of this 85-nucleotide non-coding RNA. The record is from the annotation of a RefSeq genome assembly. Lineage: Eukaryota; Viridiplantae; Streptophyta; Magnoliopsida; Lamiales; Lamiaceae.
GGAAGAUUGGCCGAGUGGUAAGGCAGCGGUUUGCUAAACCGUACAGGGGUAAAAGCCUGCGCAAGUUCGAGUCUUGCAUCUUCCG